UAUUGGUCAAUGGGCGCUAGCCUGAACCAGCCAAGUAGCGUGAAGGAUGACUGCCCUAUGGGUUGUAAACUUCUUUUAUAUGGGAAUAAAAUGAGUUACGUGUAGCUUUUUGUAUGUACCAUAUGAAUAAGGAUCGGCUAACUCCGUGCCAGCAGCCGCGGUAAUACGGAGGAUGCGAGCGUUAUCCGGAUUUCUUGGGUUUAAAGGGUGCGUAGGCGGUUACUUAAGUCAGCGGUCAAAUGGCGGGGCUCAACCCCGUCCAGCCGUUGAAACUGGGUAGCUUGAGUCGGCGAGAAGUACGCGGAAUGCGCGGUGUAGCGGUGAAAUGCAUAGAUAUCGCGCAGAACUCCGAUUGCGAAGGCAGCGUACCGGCGCCGCACUGACGCUGAGGCACGAAAGCGUGGGUAUCGAACAG
RNAcentral lists this ribosomal RNA (415 nucleotides) under uncultured bacterium. Its description in RNAcentral is "bacterial SSU rRNA". It matches the Rfam family "Bacterial small subunit ribosomal RNA", at positions 362 to 775 of the family's 1533-position model. The record is from RNAcentral.